RNAcentral lists this ribosomal RNA (253 nucleotides) under uncultured bacterium. RNAcentral's name for it is "partial 16S ribosomal RNA". It matches the Rfam family "Bacterial small subunit ribosomal RNA", at positions 524 to 776 of the family's 1533-position model. The record is from RNAcentral.
UACGAAGGGGGCUAGCGUUGCUCGGAAUCACUGGGCGUAAAGCGCACGUAGGCGGAUUGCUAAGUCAGGGGUGAAAUCCUGGAGCUCAACUCCAGAACUGCCUUUGAUACUGGUGAUCUUGAGUUCGGGAGAGGUGAGUGGAACUGCGAGUGUAGAGGUGAAAUUCGUAGAUAUUCGCAAGAACACCAGUGGCGAAGGCGGCUCACUGGCCCGAUACUGACGCUGAGGUGCGAAAGCGUGGGGAGCAAACAGG